UUUCCCGUUUUAGUACCGUUCAUUCGUUCCACCCCAGAAUGAACGGCUAUGCUAAUGGGAGAGAGAGAAAAUUGUCAGAGUGAAGGAGGGUCUGGCCUCGUCCAUCCCUUCUAGUUGAACUGACAUGACAAAAUCUA
This is a small nucleolar RNA of Esox lucius (northern pike), 137 nucleotides long. Ensembl annotates it as small nucleolar RNA SNORA29. The record is from Ensembl. Lineage: Eukaryota; Metazoa; Chordata; Actinopteri; Esociformes; Esocidae.